Molecule: transfer RNA, 74 nt
Filed under: Clostridium sp.
Lineage: Bacteria; Bacillati; Bacillota; Clostridia; Eubacteriales; Clostridiaceae
Also listed under: 7 other names
Description: tRNA-Arg
Rfam family: tRNA
About the family: Transfer RNA (tRNA) molecules are approximately 80 nucleotides in length. Their secondary structure includes four short double-helical elements and three loops (D, anti-codon, and T loops). Further hydrogen bonds mediate the characteristic L-shaped molecular structure. tRNAs have two regions of fundamental functional importance: the anti-codon, which is responsible for specific mRNA codon recognition, and the 3' end, to which the tRNAs corresponding amino acid is attached (by aminoacyl-tRNA synthetases). tRNAs cope with the degeneracy of the genetic code in two manners: having more than one tRNA (with a specific anti-codon) for a particular amino acid; and 'wobble' base-pairing, i.e. permitting non-standard base-pairing at the 3rd anti-codon position.
Source: RNAcentral
GUGUCAGUAGCUCAGUUGGAUAGAGCAACGGCCUUCUAAGCCGUGGGUCGGGGGUUCGAAUCCCUCCUGGCACG